RNAcentral lists this ribosomal RNA (473 nucleotides) under uncultured bacterium. RNAcentral's name for it is "bacterial SSU rRNA". It matches the Rfam family "Bacterial small subunit ribosomal RNA", at positions 329 to 793 of the family's 1533-position model. The record is from RNAcentral.
CUACGCACUCCUACGGGAGGCAGGCAGUGGGGGAAUAUUGCACAAUGGGCGCAAGCCUGAUGCAGCCAUGCCGCGUGUAUGAAGAAGGCCUUCGGGUUGUAAAGUACUUUCAGCAGUGAGGAAGGUGGGUAUGUUAAUAGCAUAUUCAUUUGACGUUAGCUGCAGAAGAAGCACCGGCUAACUCCGUGCCAGCAGCCGCGGUAAUACGGAGGUGCGAGCGUUAAUCGGAAUUACUGGGCGUAAAGCGCAUGCAGGUGGUUUGUUAAGUCAGAUGUGAAAGCCCGGGGCUCAACCUCGGAAUUGCAUUUGAAACUGGCAAACUAGAGUACUGUAGAGGGGGUAGAAUUUCAGGUGUAGCGGUGAAAUGCGUAGAGAUCUGAAGGAAUACCGGUGGCGAAGGCGGCCCCCCUGGACAGAUACUGACACUCAGAUGCGAAAGCGUGGGGAGCAAACAGGAUUAGAUACCCUGGUAG